This 986-nucleotide ribosomal RNA is filed under the name marine metagenome. RNAcentral's name for it is "bacterial SSU rRNA". It matches the Rfam family "Bacterial small subunit ribosomal RNA", at positions 165 to 1185 of the family's 1533-position model. The record is from RNAcentral.
AAUACCUCAUAAGUCUUUACGGAGAAAGCUUUAUGCGCCAUUGGAUGAGCCCGCACUUGAUUAGUUUGUUGGUAGGGUAAUGGCCUACCAAGACUGUGAUCAAUAGCUGAUUUGAGAGGAUGAUCAGCCACAUUGGGACUGAGACACGGCCCAAACUCCUACGGGAGGCAGCAGUAAGGAAUCUUGCACAAUGGAGGAAACUCUGAUGCAGCGAUGCCGCGUGAGUGAAGAAGGCCCUUGGGUUGUAAAGCUCUUUCGUCGGGGAAGAAAAUGACUGUACCCGAAUAAGAAGGUCCGGCUAACUUCGUGCCAGCAGCCGCGGUAAUACGAAGGGACCUAGCGUAGUUCGGAAUUACUGGGCUUAAAGAGUUCGUAGGUGGUUAAAAAAGUUGGUGGUGAAAUCCCAGAGCUUAACUCUGGAACUGCCAUCAAAACUUUUUAGCUAGAGUAUGAUAGAGGAAAGCAGAAUUUCUAGUGUAGAGGUGAAAUUCGUAGAUAUUAGAAAGAAUACCAAUUGCGAAGGCAGCUUUCUGGAUCAUUACUGACACUGAGGAACGAAAGCAUGGGUAGCGAAGAGGAUUAGAUACCCUCGUAGUCCAUGCCGUAAACGAUGUGUGUUAGACGUUGGAAAUUUAUUUUCAGUGUCGCAGUGAAAGCGAUAAACACACCGCCUGGGGAGUACGACCGCAAGGUUAAAACUCAAAUGAAUUGACGGGGACCCGCACAAGUAGUGGAGCAUGUGGUUUAAUUCGAAGAUACGCGCAGAACCUUACCAACACUUGACAUGUUCGUCGCGACUUUAAGAGAUUAAAGUUUUCGGUUCGGCCGGACGAAACACAGGUGCUGCAUGGCUGUCGUCAGCUCGUGUCGUGAGAUGUUGGGUUAAGUCCCGCAACGAGCGCAACCCUCACUUUUAGUUGCCAUCAUUUAGUUGGGCACUCUGAAAGAACUGCCAGUGAUAAGCUGGAGGAAGGUGGGGAUGACGU